Non-coding RNA from Chlamydomonas reinhardtii, 226 nucleotides. The record is from Rfam. NCBI's taxonomy places the organism in Eukaryota, Viridiplantae, Chlorophyta, Chlorophyceae, Chlamydomonadales, Chlamydomonadaceae.
UUUCGCAAAUACCAUAGGUGUCCUGUACUCGUAAGAGUACUGAAAAAUUGGGUGAAUUGCUGGAACCCGAAAGGUAAUCAGCAGCCAAGCUACAGGUGGGCUAUAUAAAUAUUUAUAUAGGUUCUGUAGAAGGUUCAGAGACUAGUGCUUGAGUCCCAACAAUAAUAGCACAUUAGCGCCCAACCCCUUUUAUUUGAGUUAAAAGGGUGAAGAUAUAGUCCAACGA